GUCGACGGCCAUACAACCCUGAACGCACCCGAUCUCGUCUGAUCUCGGAAGCUAAGCAGGGUCGGGCCUGGUUAGUACUUGGAUGGGAGACCGCCUCGGCAUACCGGGUGUUGUAGGCG
This 119-nucleotide ribosomal RNA is filed under the name Delphinapterus leucas (beluga whale). The record is from RNAcentral. Lineage: Eukaryota; Metazoa; Chordata; Mammalia; Artiodactyla; Monodontidae.